Molecule: non-coding RNA, 75 nt
Organism: Schistocerca americana (American grasshopper)
Lineage: Eukaryota; Metazoa; Arthropoda; Insecta; Orthoptera; Acrididae
Source: the annotation of a RefSeq genome assembly
GUCCUAGGUGGCUCAGAUGGAUAGAGCGUCAGCCCGGUACGCUGGUGAACCCGGGUUCGAAUCCCGGUCGGGGCA